Molecule: ribosomal RNA, 614 nt
Filed under: uncultured bacterium
Lineage: Bacteria
Description: bacterial SSU rRNA
Rfam family: Bacterial small subunit ribosomal RNA
Source: RNAcentral
CCUACGGGAGGCAGCAGUGGGGAAUUUUGGACAAUGGGCGCAAGCCUGAUCCAGCAAUGCCGCGUGAGUGAAGAAGGCCUUCGGGUUGUAAAGCUCUUUUGUCAGGGAAGAAACGGUGGGGGCUAAUAUCUCCUACUAAUGACGGUACCUGAAGAAUAAGCACCGGCUAACUACGUGCCAGCAGCCGCGGUAAUACGUAGGGUGCAAGCGUUAAUCGGAAUUACUGGGCGUAAAGCGUGCGCAGGCGGUUUUGUAAGUCUGUCGUGAAAGCCCCGGGCUCAACCUGGGAAUUGCGAUGGAGACUGCAAGGCUUGAAUCUGGCAGAGGGGGGUAGAAUUCCACGUGUAGCAGUGAAAUGCGUAGAGAUGUGGAGGAACACCGAUGGCGAAGGCAGCCCCCUGGGUCAAGAUUGACGCUCAUGCACGAAAGCGUGGGGAGCAAACAGGAUUAGAUACCCUGGUAGUCCACGCCCUAAACGAUGUCUACUAGUUGUCGGGUUUUAAUUAACUUGUAACGCAGCUAACGCGUGAAGUAGACCGCCUGGGGAGUACGGUCGCAAGNUUAAAACUUNAAAUGAAUUGACGGNUUGAGACGNGCGAGNGACACGAGGAGAG